GCAGCGUGCGAAGCCGUAAGGCGCUGUAUACGCUGUGACGCCUGCCCGGUGCUGGAAGGUUACGGGGAAGGGUUAGUCUUCGGACGAAGCUCUGAACCUAAGCCCCAGUAAACGGCGGCCGUAACUAUAACGGUCCUAAGGUAGCGAAAUUCCUUGUCGGGUAAGUUCCGACCUGCACGAAUGGCGUAACGACUUUCCAACUGUCUCAACCACUGACCCAGCGAAAUUGAAGUACGAGUAAAGAUGCUCGUUAGCUGCAGAAGGACGGUAAGACCCCGUGGACCUUUACUGCAACUUGAUGUUGGGUUUUGUUAUGCGUUGUGUAGGAUAGGUGGGAGACGAGGAAGCAUUGGCGCCAGCCAGUGUGGAGUCAUCCUUGAAAUACCACCCUGCGUAUGGCGAGGCUCUAACCCAGACCCGUUAUCCGGGUCGGGAACAGCGUCAGGUGGGUAGUUUGACUGGGGCGGUCGCCUCCUAAAGAGUAACGGAGGCGCCCAAAGGUUCCCUCAGCCUGGUUGGC
RNAcentral lists this ribosomal RNA (520 nucleotides) under uncultured bacterium. RNAcentral describes it as "bacterial LSU rRNA". It matches the Rfam family "Bacterial large subunit ribosomal RNA", at positions 1816 to 2335 of the family's 2925-position model. The record is from RNAcentral.